RNAcentral lists this ribosomal RNA (492 nucleotides) under uncultured bacterium. RNAcentral's name for it is "partial 16S ribosomal RNA". It matches the Rfam family "Bacterial small subunit ribosomal RNA", at positions 29 to 507 of the family's 1533-position model. The record is from RNAcentral.
AGUGAACGCUGGCGGUAGGCCUAACACAUGCAAGUCGAACGGCAGCACAGUAAGAGCUUGCUCUUACGGGUGGCGAGUGGCGGACGGGUGAGGAAUACAUCGGAAUCUACUUUUUCGUGGGGGAUAACGUAGGGAAACUUACGCUAAUACCGCAUACGACCUACGGGUGAAAGCAGGGGAUCUUCGGACCUUGCGCGAUUGAAUGAGCCGAUGUCGGAUUAGCUAGUUGGCGGGGUAAAGGCCCACCAAGGCGACGAUCCGUAGCUGGUCUGAGAGGAUGAUCAGCGACACUGGAACUGAGACACGGUCCAGACGCCUACGGGAGGCAGCAGUCGGGAAUAUUGGACAAUGGGCGCAAGCCUGAUCCAGCCAUACCGCGUGGGUGAAGAAGGCCUUCGGGUUGUAAAGCCCUUUUGUUGGGAAAGAAAAGCAGCAGGUUAAUACCCCGCUGUUCUGACGGUACCCAAAGAAUAAGCACCGGCUAACUUCGUG